AAUGGCUUAACGGAAAUUAAACUUUUUUUUNGUUAAAAAAAUUGAAUUUAGAAUUUAAGUUAAAAUACUUAAAUAUAUAAAAGGGACGAGAAGACCCUAUAGAAUUUUAGAAUAGUUUUGUUUAAAAAUUUUUUGGUUGGGGUGACAUGAAAUAAACUUUUUUAAUUUAAUUCAUUUUAUAUGAUUGCAGGAUCCUGAAAUUUGGAUAUAGAGUUAAAAUUACCUUAGGGAUAACAGCAUAAUUUUUUUUUUAAGGUCGUAUUUGUAAAAAAGAUUAUGACCUCGAUGUUGAAUUAAGAUAAUAUUUUGGAGCAGAAUUUAAAAUAUUAAGUCUGUUCGACUUUAAUUUUUACAUGAUUUGAGUUCAAACCGGCGUGAGCCAGGUUGGUUUCUAUCUUUUUAUAAUAG
Molecule: ribosomal RNA, 408 nt
Filed under: Melanastera sp. 1 LS-2020
Lineage: Eukaryota; Metazoa; Arthropoda; Insecta; Hemiptera; Liviidae
Description: Psylloidea gen. 1 sp. 1 LS-2020 partial large subunit ribosomal RNA
Rfam family: Bacterial large subunit ribosomal RNA (bases 80-400)
Source: RNAcentral